AUCGAGUUUGGGCCACAAGGCGGUCCCUCCCCCUAUCAGGGGGAGGUUAGGAGGGGGUAUCCCCUACCCUACGCGAUCC
This 79-nucleotide transfer RNA is filed under the name Devosia yakushimensis. RNAcentral describes it as "tRNA-Asp". Lineage: Bacteria; Pseudomonadati; Pseudomonadota; Alphaproteobacteria; Hyphomicrobiales; Devosiaceae. The record is from RNAcentral.